This 217-nucleotide RNase P RNA is filed under the name Paludibacteraceae bacterium. Its description in RNAcentral is "partial RNase P RNA component class A". It matches the Rfam family "Bacterial RNase P class A", at positions 151 to 367 of the family's 367-position model. From Rfam's summary of the family: Ribonuclease P (RNase P) is a ubiquitous endoribonuclease, found in archaea, bacteria and eukarya as well as chloroplasts and mitochondria. Its best characterised activity is the generation of mature 5'-ends of tRNAs by cleaving the 5'-leader elements of precursor-tRNAs. Lineage: Bacteria; Pseudomonadati; Bacteroidota; Bacteroidia; Bacteroidales; Paludibacteraceae. The record is from RNAcentral.
AGGGUGAGAAGGUGGGGUAAGAGCCCACCAGUUCUGAUGGUGACAUCGGAAGCUGUAUGAGUCAUGGGUUGUAAGAUCAUGUAUACCGAAUGUGGGGCGGCCCGUCCCUUUCGUCGGGGGGUAGAUUGCUUGAGGCUUAUGGUGACAUAAGUCCUAGAUUAAUGACAAACAUCCGUUUCGGCGGAGACAGAACUCGGCUUAUACGCCUACUAUUUUU